AACGAACGCUGGCGGCGAGGAUAAGACAUGCAAGUCGUACGCUGGUAUGCGGGUAGCAAUAUUUGCAUAUUGGAGUGGCGAACGGGUGAGUAACACGUGGGUAAUUUAUCUUUGAGUUAGGGAUAAUUCGCUGAAGGGCGGACUAAUACCGAAUGUGGAUACUGGGUGGGGACAUCUGGUUUCUAAAGUUGGGGACCGAGAGGCCUGGCGCUCACAGGUAAGCCCGCGUCCUAUCAGCUGGUUGGUGAGGUAAGAGCUUACCAAGGCUAUGACGGGUAGCUGGUCUGAGAGGACGAUCAGCCACACUGGAACUGAGACACGGUCCAGACACCUACGGGUGGCAGCAGUCGAGAAUCUUUCUCAAUGGGGGCAACCCUGAAGGAGCGACGCCGCGUGGGGGAUGAAGGGCUUCGGCUCGUAAACCCCUGUCAUUUGUGAGCAGGUGUGAUUGUUUAAGAGAUGGUUACAUAGAUAGUAGCAAAAGAGGAAGGGACGGCUAACUCUGUGCCAGCAGCCGCGGUAAUACAGAGGUCCCAAGCGUUGUUCGGAAUCACUGGGCGUAAAGGGUGCGUANGCGGUAGUGUAA
Molecule: ribosomal RNA, 586 nt
Filed under: uncultured bacterium
Lineage: Bacteria
Description: bacterial SSU rRNA
Rfam family: Bacterial small subunit ribosomal RNA
Source: RNAcentral